GCUUAACACAUGCAAGUCGAACGAUGACUCUCUAGCUUGCUAGAGAAGAUUAGUGGCGGACGGGUGAGUAACAUUUAGGAAUCUGCCUAGUAGUGGGGGAUAGCUCGGGGAAACUCGAAUUAAUACCGCAUACGACCUACGGGUGAAAGGGGGCGCAAGCUCUUGCUAUUAGAUGAGCCUAAAUCAGAUUAGCUAGUUGGUGGGGUAAAGGCCCACCAAGGCGACGAUCUGUAACUGGUCUGAGAGGAUGAUCAGUCACACCGGAACUGAGACACGGUCCGGACUCCUACGGGAGGCAGCAGUGGGGAAUAUUGGACAAUGGGGGCAACCCUGAUCCAGCCAUGCCGCGUGUGUGAAGAAGGCCUUUUGGUUGUAAAGCACUUUAAGCAGGGAGGAGAGGCUAAUGGUUAAUACCCAUUAGAUUAGACGUUACCUGCAGAAUAAGCACCGGCUAACUCUGUGCCAGCAGCCGCGGUAAUACAGAGGGUGCGAGCGUUAAUCGGAAUUACUGGGCGUAAAGCGAGUGUAGGUGGCUCAUUAAGUCACAUGUGAAAUCCCCGGGCUUAACCUGGGAACUGCAUGUGAUACUGGUGGUGCUAGAAUAUGUGAGAGGGAAGUAGAAUUCCAGGUGUAGCGGUGAAAUGCGUAGAGAUCUGGAGGAAUACCGAUGGCGAAGGCAGCUUCCUGGCAUAAUAUUGACACUGAGAUUCGAAAGCGUGGGUAGCAAACAGGAUUAGAUACCCUGGUAGUCCACGCCGUAAACGAUGUCUACUAGCCGUUGGGGUCCUUGAGACUUUAGUGGCGCAGUUAACGCGAUAAGUAGACCGCCUGGGGAGUACGGCCGCAAGGUUAAAACUCAAAUGAAUUGACGGGGGCCCGCACAAGCGGUGGAGCAUGUGGUUUAAUUCGAUGCAACGCGAAGAACCUUACCUGGUCUUGACAUAGUGAGAAUCCUGCAGAGAUGCGGGAGUGCCUUCGGGAAUUCACAUACAGGUGCUGCAUGGCUGUCGUCAGCUCGUGUCGUGAGAUGUUGGGUUAAGUCCCGCAACGAGCGCAACCCUUUUCCUUAUUUGCCAGCGGGUUAAGCCGGGAACUUUAAGGAUACUGCCAGUGACAAACUGGAGGAAGGCGGGGACGACGUCAAGUCAUCAUGGCCCUUACGACCAGGGCUACACACGUGCUACAAUGGUAGGUACAGAGGGUUGCUACACAGCGAUGUGAUGCUAAUCUCAAAAAGCCUAUCGUAGUCCGGAUUGGAGUCUGCAACUCGACUCCAUGAAGUCGGAAUCGCUAGUAAUCGCAGAUCAGAAUGCUGCGGUGAAUACGUUCCCGGGCCUUGUACACACCGCCCGUCACACCAUGGGAGUCUAUUGCACCAGAAGUAGGUAGCCUAACGUAAGAGGGCGCUUACCAC
RNAcentral lists this ribosomal RNA (1414 nucleotides) under Enhydrobacter aerosaccus. RNAcentral describes it as "bacterial SSU rRNA". It matches the Rfam family "Bacterial small subunit ribosomal RNA". The record is from RNAcentral. Lineage: Bacteria; Pseudomonadati; Pseudomonadota; Alphaproteobacteria; Hyphomicrobiales.